GGGGGUGAUCGGUUUCGACAUUGAUCGGCGGAUCAAGAGAAGCGGGUCGAGGAUGCACGGUUAUCUCGUUAACGAUCCGUGCAAACCAAUAGGUGCCAACUCCAAGCGCACCGACUUCGCCCUCGCCGCCUGAGCGAGCUCCGAAGUCCGUCAGCCUGAGGUAGUUCUCGACUCAGUGUCUGGCGUCAGCUAGAGAACUUGCUGCGUCACCCUUGUCGGGGGGUGGCGUGGGACUCCAAUCCGACUGGGCCUGUCAGGGAACGUGUGCGCGCGAGCCCUGGGGCCGAGAAAAUCCGUAGCGCACUGCACCCGGAGAAGUCUUGGUUUCCCGUCAGUGGACGCGGGUUCGAUUCCCGCCACCUCCACCA
This is a non-coding RNA of Knoellia aerolata DSM 18566, 368 nucleotides long. It matches the Rfam family "transfer-messenger RNA". Rfam says of the family: Bacterial tmRNA, also known as 10Sa RNA or SsrA, is named for its dual tRNA and mRNA-like properties. Its role is to liberate the mRNA from a stalled ribosome. The record is from Rfam. NCBI's taxonomy places the organism in Bacteria, Bacillati, Actinomycetota, Actinomycetes, Micrococcales, Intrasporangiaceae.